Molecule: ribosomal RNA, 432 nt
Filed under: uncultured bacterium
Lineage: Bacteria
Description: partial 16S ribosomal RNA
Rfam family: Bacterial small subunit ribosomal RNA
Source: RNAcentral
AACGAACGCUGGCGGCAUGCCUAACACAUGCAAGUCGAACGGGACCUUCGGGUCUAGUGGCGCACGGCUGCGUAACGCGGGGUAACCUGCCCUUAGGUUCGGAAUAACUCCCUGAAAGGGGUGCUAAUACCGGAUAAUGUCUUCGGACCAAAGAUUUAUCGCCUUUGGGUGGGGCCGCGUUGGAUUAGGUGGUUGGUGGGGUAAAAGCCGACCAAGGCGGCGAUCCAUAGCUGGUCUGAGAGGAUGAUCAGCCGCACUGGGAUUGAGACACGGCCCAGACGGGUACGAGCGGUGGGAGUGGUUGAUAAUGGAGAGGGGGCCAAAUGCAGAAACAGCACGGGCGCGAGGAUGAUGAAGGCGUUGGGGUUGUAAUGCGCUUGUACCCGGGAUGAUAAGACGAGAACCGGGAGAAUAGCACCGGCUUACUACCGG